This is a long non-coding RNA of Oryzias melastigma (Indian medaka), 1217 nucleotides long. RefSeq lists it as uncharacterized. The record is from RefSeq and is a predicted model, not a curated record. The transcript is spliced from 2 exons. Lineage: Eukaryota; Metazoa; Chordata; Actinopteri; Beloniformes; Adrianichthyidae.
UUACAUUUAAUUCUCAUUGUUUUUAUUGAACUAAAACCAUUUUAUUUACCAUUAGUUUUGCUUUUAUUUUUAAGGCAAGUAAAACACAUUUUUUACUGAUUUUUUGUGUUAUUUAGAAAACGUUACAUCAAGAUCAUAAUUUAUAGAAAGUCUUGGUUUACUUCAAAGUCUUUCAAGUUUUUAUCUCAGAAUGACUAAAUGUUUGCAUAAAAAGCUUUGACUUAAAUCAUUAUAUGUAGUAUAUCAUAAAUCAUUUAGUGUAAUAUCUCCAAAAGUUUCUCAUCUGUUAUUUUAAGUGUUAUAGUCAAAUAAUAAAUAGUGAAACAAAUAUUGAAAUAUGUAAAAAUGAUUUGUGCUACAUAAAUUUGAACAAACAGAAUAGGUUUUUUUAUCCUUUAUCAAUGCUUUUAGUCAAAUAAUAUGUUCACAUGACUAAGAAUUACACUUUCUUUAUUGUAAAAUGUAAAUAGAUUUAUUAAUAUCGAUAAUAUAAGAGUUAGAAAACGAUUUGGGGACGUCUAGAAAGUUGACGUGAAAUUAACUUAUAACUGCAGAAGAUAGAUAUGUAAAGUAAAUCUCCGAGAACUGAGAGUUCAUCAUGCAUCAAACGGUUUUUACUGCUCAAUCUGUUCGAAACACAUUUUAUUCUUUCACUUCCUCCUCUGAGUCGAGUAUCCAUGGCAACAGAUAUCCACGACUGAUGACCCGUCACGGCAGACAGGUUUCUAUUCUAAACAUAGUCAGCUCUGAAAGUAACAUUUCCCUAAAGCUACCAAAGGGGAAUAUCUCAAUUCAGAAAGGAAGACUGAGAAGGAUGAAGAAGAAAGGAUUUCAUGGAGGUGGAUGAUGCAAAAUGUGCUGCCAAAAAACAAAAACAGAUAUAUUGUGAGCACAGGAUGUCCUGAGGCUGAAGAAUUCAUACCAGCUUCUCCUGAAAAGAGUUUGUUGGUCCUUCAGAAAAUUUACAAUUUUUCACUUUCAAAAAAAAUGGAUAUCUGUCGCCCUCUGCUGGUAGAAGAGCAGCACUGACGUUUGCUCUGUGACAGUAUUUUUUGUUAAUUAUAUAAUUUGUUUAAAUGUAGAUUUCUAAAAAUGUGUCAAUUUUAUGUGUAUGUGUUUACAUAAAUCGAAUUGAAACAAAAUUUUUCAUCAAAAGGUAUGAGUGUAUUUUUAAGAGAACCUAAAAGCUUACAAAUAAAAAUAAUAAUAAAAAAAAA